Molecule: long non-coding RNA, 2673 nt
Filed under: Mus musculus (house mouse)
Lineage: Eukaryota; Metazoa; Chordata; Mammalia; Rodentia; Muridae
Description: long non-coding RNA chrX:41524912-41527585
Source: RNAcentral
UUAACCUACCUAUGAAAGGCUACAGAAAGGCAGUGAAGUACAUCUUUGAGAUGAUGAGGACUUCUCCCAUAGAAGAUCAGGAUGCAUUUGACAAGCAUGGGGAAGUGGCUUAGAGAAUUUAAUAAAGGAGUUUGGCAGUUGCUUCCAAAGACUACAUUGCUCUCAAGAUACUUUGAAAUUAAAUUUGUAUUAAUUGAAAAGCAAGAAGAGAACUUUAGAAUAUAUCAGAGAGAAAUUACACAGAUGAGUUUACUUGCUGAGAGGUACACCACAGGCAGCCCUGGCACUUGGCAGCAGUCUUGACAAGUACCUUCAUAUUUCCUUUGCCAGUAGGUUCAAAUGUAUUUCUAUACCCUCUCUCUCCAAAAUGUAUCUAUAACUAAAAUGCCAAAAACAAUCUCUAAAAGCUCUAUAAGUGUUAAAUAUCUCUAAAGACUCAAUUUGUUCCCCAAGUAGAGGUAGCCCCUGGAUGCUUCCUCCCACAAUAAAAGAAAUUUUCCAGCAUCUUACCUGAACCUCAUCUAUUAAAUGUAGGACUUAGUGUGGAAAAAAAUUACUUUCAAAUCAAUUGGAUAUCACCUGACCUGAUUUUUGAACCCACACCAACCCAAACGCAAAGGAAAACUCUGUUACUGAUUCUGCCUAGUGAACAGUGACAUAUCUGUUCUGGUUACAGAAAAGAAUAAUGUCAAAACUAGCAAAACAAUAGCAGUGAACAAAGCAGCCAAGAUAUUUUUAAAAAUCUAUAGCCACCUUACAGUGUCUAUAUCACUUCUCUAUCCCAACAUAUGAAUCUCUACAGAUCUAAAAAAUACUUCAUAUUCCAAAAAUAAAUACCAAGAUGUUGUAAGCCUUGUCUUCUGUAUCAUACUUGCCUGGUUAUGUGCAGUUUCUUCAAUGUAGUACCAAUAUGACUGUGAUGCAUCGCCUAUUUUUCAUGUCCUUAUUUUUAAAUUAAGGCCUAUUUCGCAUGGCUUGCUUAUAUUUAAGCAUAAUAUAAAUACAGGCGGCAGUAUAAAACAAAUGCUUAAGUAAAUGAAUUAUAAAAUAUCCCUAAAACUACUAUCAGUGAAAAAGAAUCUUGCUAGUUACCUCAGAAGUCCUUUGUACAUUGUCAAGCACAGUUUCUUUGUUUAUUUUGGUGAAGAUAUGUAUAACUUAAAAGCUUCAUCGGUUGUUUGUGAGCAUGGUAUGUGAGAGAGAGAGAGAGAGAGAGAGAGAGAGAGAGAGAGAGAUUUCCAAUUUGUAUGAAAUAAGAUCUCUCUUGUUCACUGUAACUGCACAUACCAGCCCAACUGGCCAGUGUGGAUAUGAAGAUUGUACUGUCUCUGUCCACCAUCUCUCCAUUGGAGUGCAGGAAUUUAAGGUGUAUGCAAUACUAUAUUGGAUUUUUAUAUGGGUUCUGGAGAUUUGAAUUUAGGUCAUCAGGCUUGUGAGACAAAUGAGCCAUCUCCCCCACACAUCAAAUGCUAUUAUGAGGCCACAACAUUUCUGUUUAUUUCUUACUUCUAAAAUUUGCAUUCACAGUUUUGGUUGAUUGAUUGCUUCAUUUUUGUGGUAUUAGGGGUUGAACUGACAGCCCUGUGGAUGCUAAACAAGCACUUUGACACUGACUUAUACCCCAGCCCUUCCCAAUCAGUGCUAAAGCUGACAACAAUCCUGUCUGCCCCAGAGAGGAUUGGAAGGAAGCAAUUGCACAUGGGCAAGUAUUUUGUAUAAGCUUAAGAGAUGGAGAUGAAGAGUGUUGAGAGUCAAAGGCAAAACAUGCAUGAAAGUUAAGUGUAAGAAGCUGGGAUCAUCUCCGACUUCCUCUAGAACCUUUUCAGCUAAAUUAACAUCCCCACAUCAUGUAGAUACAUUCAAAUACAAAAUAUAAAAAGCUUGUAAAAUGAAAUAUAAGAGAAUUUAAAUGUAUGCAUUAUUCAGUACUGUCCAUACCCUGAAUUUCCUAUCCUUCCUGCAAAUAAUCAAAAGUAAAUCUCAAGACUGAAUAGAUAAAAUGGAUAGAGAAGGAAAGGCAGGAGGAAGCAGGGUUUGAUAGUCUGUCUAGUGAAACUUCAACUUUCUCCAGCUUUCUGCCAAGAGGCAUUGAUGUUAAUGUUCUUGGACUAUUCUGUAUGAAUUAGGCAAACUGUCAUAGACCCACAGAUUAAUCACUCAACAAUCUAAGGUCUAUUUUGAAAGAUGGAUUUUAAGUUCUUUCCUUAUUCAUCCCAUGGUAUGUGGAUAAUUUAAAAGCAUAACUGUCUGACUAAUUGGCCAAUUUGAUCUUCAAUACUGAAAAAUCAGUACUUUAUCAUUACCUAAGACUUUAUGUUUCCCUAUAUCACCAGAACACAAAUUGAACAGAUAGCAUGUAUAAAAAUAUCAGCCAGGAAGCAGAACAUGUUAUUCUUUUGUCUUGAUCACAUUCUUAUCCAGUAGGAAGGGAGGGGGUAAAUCAGCAUGAGCAAGCACCUACUGUAUGACAGAGAUAUCUCAUCUAAAACAUGUUUUAAAAAGAGAGCUGGGUUGAUCUAUUCUAGGAAUAAAUGUCUCAUUGGAGACCACAAAGGUGUUGCCUCUGUGGAUCAAGAAAUGCAGCAACAAAAUAUUGAGCCAGAAAAUCCCAGUAUUCCCUAUCAGGAGGAGCAUGCUUUGUAAAAAAUAUACCAUCACAGCCUUAGCAACCUG